UACAGAGGUCCCAAGCGUUGUCCGGAAUCAUUGGGCGUAAAGCGCGCGUAGGCGGCCCGGUAAGUCCGCUCUGAAAGUCCAGGGCUUAACCCUGGAAAGCGGGUGGAUACUGCCGGGCUAGAAUCCGGAAGAGGCGAGUGGAAUUCCUGGUGUAGCGGUGGAAUGCGCAGAUAUCAGGAGGAACACCAAUAGCGAAGGCAGCUCGCUGGGACGGUAUUGACGCUAAGGCGCGAAAGCGUGGGGAGCAAACAGG
RNAcentral lists this ribosomal RNA (253 nucleotides) under uncultured bacterium. Its description in RNAcentral is "partial 16S ribosomal RNA". It matches the Rfam family "Bacterial small subunit ribosomal RNA", at positions 524 to 776 of the family's 1533-position model. The record is from RNAcentral.